UACAGAGGGCUCAAGCGUUGUUCGGAUUCAUUGGGCGUAAAGGGUGCGUAGGUGGCUCUGUAAGUCGGGGGUGAAAUUUCGGAGCUUAACUCCGAAACUGCAUUCGAUACUGCGGUGCUUGAGGACUGGAGAGGAGAGUGGAAUUCAUGGUGUAGCAGUGAAAUGCGUAGAGAUCAUGAGGAAGACCAGUGGCGAAGGCGGGUCUCUGGACAGUUCCUGACACUGAGGCACGAAGGCCAGGGGAGCAAACGGG
This 253-nucleotide ribosomal RNA is filed under the name uncultured bacterium. RNAcentral describes it as "partial 16S ribosomal RNA". It matches the Rfam family "Bacterial small subunit ribosomal RNA", at positions 524 to 776 of the family's 1533-position model. The record is from RNAcentral.